RNAcentral lists this ribosomal RNA (394 nucleotides) under bacterium DBT63. Its description in RNAcentral is "bacterial SSU rRNA". It matches the Rfam family "Bacterial small subunit ribosomal RNA", at positions 224 to 635 of the family's 1533-position model. The record is from RNAcentral.
GAUGAGCCCGCGUUGGAUUAGCUAGUUGGUGGGGUAAAGGCCUACCAAGGCGACGAUCCAUAGCUGGUCUGAAAGGAUGAUCAGCCACACUGGGACUGAGACACGGCCCAGACUCCUACGGGAGGCAGCAGUGGGGAAUAUUGGACAAUGGGCGCAAGCCUGAUCCAUCCAUGCCGCGUGAGUGAUGAAGGCCCUAGGGUUGUAAAGCUCUUUCACCGGUGAAGAUAAUGACGGUAACCGGACAAGAAGCCCCGGCUAACUUCGUGCCAGCAGCCGCGGUAAUACGAAGGGGGCUAGCGUUGUUCGGAUUUACUGGGCGUAAAGCGCACGUAGGCGGACUAUUAUGUCAGGGGUGAAAUCCCGGGGCUCAUCCCCGGAACUGCCUUUGAUACUG